Molecule: ribosomal RNA, 1344 nt
Filed under: uncultured bacterium
Lineage: Bacteria
Description: bacterial SSU rRNA
Rfam family: Bacterial small subunit ribosomal RNA
Source: RNAcentral
GACGAACGCUGGCGGCGUGCUUAACACAUGCAAGUCGAACGAUGAAGCUCUAGCUUGCUGGGGUGGAUUAGUGGCGAACGGGUGAGUAACACGUGAGUAACCUGCCCUUUACUUCGGGAUAAGCUUGGGAAACUGGGUCUAAUACCGGAUAUUCUGCGUGAUCGGAUGGUUGUGUAGGAAAGAUUUUUUGGUAAGGGAUGGGCUCGCGGCCUAUCAGUUUGUUGGUGGGGUGAUGGCCUACCAAGACGACGACGGGUAGCCGGCCUGAGAGGGCGACCGGCCACACUGGGACUGAGACACGGCCCAGACUCCUACGGGAGGCAGCAGUGGGGAAUAUUGCACAAUGGGGGAAACCCUGAUGCAGCGACGCCGCGUGGGGGAUGACGGCCUUCGGGUUGUAAACCUCUUUCAGUAGGGAAGAAGCGAAAGUGACGGUACCUGCAGAAGAAGUACCGGCUAACUACGUUGCCAGCAACCGCGGUAAUACGUAGGGUACUAGCGUUGUCCGGAAUUAUUGGGCGUAAAGAGCUUCGUAGGUGGUUUGUCGCGUCUGCUGUGGAAACGUGCCGCUUAACGGUGCGCGUGCAGUGGGUACGGGCGGACUAGAGUGCAGUAGGGGAGUCUGGAAUUCCUGGUGUAGCGGUGAAAUGCGCAGAUAUCAGGAGGAACACCGGUGGCGAAGGCGGGACUCUGGGCUGUUACUGACGCUGAGGAGCGAAAGCAUGGGGAGCGAACAGGAUUAGAUACCCUGGUAGUCCAUGCCGUAAACGUUGGGCACUAGGUGUGGGGUCCAUUCCACGGAUUCUGCGCCGUAGCUAACGCAUUAAGUGCCCCGCCUGGGGAGUACGGCCGCAAGGCUAAAACUCAAAGGAAUUGACGGGGGCCCGCACAAGCGGCGGAGCAUGCGGAUUAAUUCGAUGCAACGCGAAGAACCUUACCAAGGCUUGACAUGCACUAGACCAUCGCAGAGAUGUGGUUUUCUUUUUGACUGGUGUACAGGUGGUGCAUGGUUGUCGUCAGCUCGUGUCGUGAGAUGUUGGGUUAAGUCCCGCAACGAGCGCAACCCUCGUUCUAUGUUGCCAGCACGUGAUGGUGGGAACUCAUGGGAGACUGCCGGGGUCAACUCGGAGGAAGGUGGGGAUGACGUCAAAUCAUCAUGCCCUUUAUGUCUUGGGCUUCACGCAUGCUACAAUGGCCGGUACAGAGGGUGGCGAUACCGUGAGGUGGAGCGAAUCUCUUAAAGCCGGUCUCAGUUCGGAUCGUAGUCUGCAACUCGACUACGUGAAGUCGGAGUCGCUAGUAAUCGCAGAUCAGCAAUGCUGCGGUGAAUACGUUCCCGGGCCU